GGAAGUUAAUUAUAUGUAAAAAAUCUAUUAGUUGUAAAUCGAUCAUCUCAACUAGGUAGUUGAUUUUUAACAUUAAAAACUUAGAGAAAACAACUAACAAAAUUAAAACUUAAAAGCUCUCUUCAUCAUUGAAAGCUAUCAAACACGAAAUAUAUGAUGCUUCUGCCUUGUAAUUCAGGUGAUCAUUGCUCCUUUGAAGGCUAGACUCUAGAUAUGCGAAACUUUUGAUUAAACAAACGUCGCAGAAGAUAGACCUGAAGGACACUGGCCCCAAUUAAGGCAGCUGAUUCAAACAUUGCCUUGUGCAAUGCCCUCCUGCUCAUUUUAUCAUUCACUGCAAAUUCAUUCACAUGAUAAGAAGGUUAAUAUACUUGCAAGGUCUUUUCUAUAUAUCUUAUAGGUUUGAAAAACAGUACCCAGUGCCUGGCGGUCAGUCUGAGCCUCUAGCCAGUGUUGUUCAAAUUGAAUAUUAUAAAGAGCUUCCUCCAACUUUGAUAUCUGCUCCAUCAAAGGGGCUAAAUGCUCAUCUUUUGCAUGUUGAUCAUAAAACGUGAAGUGUCCAAGAUGCACAUCAAAAUCAAUAGUUAUAAGAUAAGGAGACUUGUUUGUGAAACAGAAGUGGUAAAGCCCUUUCUUGUACACCACAAACUCAUACUUUUCACUGGUUUUAUCAUGAAAUUUAUGAAGUAGAUCGCCUGAAGGCCCCUUUAUCAGGAGAUCAACACCUUGAUCGGAAUCAGUGAAAUGCCAAGAGGAAUCAGCCUCAAUGACGACGAAAGAGAUAUGAAGAGUGUCACCUUCCGUUGCUACCUUGUGAGAGACGCAUUCUUCUUUGUCUAUCACGAAUCUAAUCCCACAUGUCCUUUCCAUCCUCCAUAGCAUCGCCAUUAUUACCACUGCUGCGUAUCUCAACACCCACUUCUCCAUCUCCUAAAAGACCAAAUCUUUUUAAUUUGUUGAUAUCUCUGAUGGGUAUUUACUGUAUAGAAAUUUUCAUUUCAGAUCCACAGCAAGUGAUGAGAAAAUACCAUUUUAAGUUCUUUGAGAAAUCUGAG
Molecule: unclassified non-coding RNA, 1055 nt
Filed under: Hevea brasiliensis (rubber tree)
Lineage: Eukaryota; Viridiplantae; Streptophyta; Magnoliopsida; Malpighiales; Euphorbiaceae
Source: RNAcentral